ACUACUGGAGACUGGCCGUGCCUUAAUGUCGCGUGUUUACUCGAACGUCCUGCUAAUCAGCCGAAUGGAAAUAACGUAUAGGUAGAUAUGUACGCGUACAUAUAAUAUUAUCUAGUUUAACGCAUGUACUCAGCUGUAUUACAUUGUCCUGCGUGUAUUCUUAUUGUCUUCAAAGAAAGACGGGUUUUAGAAAGUGACCCAUAGGUCUAAUUGACAAUAAAAUUAUAGGGGGAAAAGAGUCUCGGCGUGUACGUAUACAUAUAUUACGUGUACAAGUAUUUUAAAUCUAUAAUCGUGAGAUGAGACCAAAAUAAAUCUGCCACACAGAUAUCUAUAUUGAUAUAUAUAUUACAUUUACCAGUUUUCAAAGUUUAAAAUAAUAUCAGAAUUCGGAGCGCCGCGCAUCAGAUAUAUAUAUAUUAAUUAUGGUAGUUAUUCAUCAGUCCCUGAAAUAGCUUGUUAUACCGUGUGUGUGUGUACAUACAUAUAUCAAUGUAUAUAUGUAUAUGUACCUGGUAUACUGCAGUGAGACUGGAAAAUAACCGCGUAUCCAUGACCGCUCAGGAAACAGGUAUAUUAUCCUUUGUCUCACGUAGUUCGCGUGAUAAUCGCAUGUAUAAAAUUGCAAAUGAAAUAAUUGUCCUUGUACAGUAAUAUAUGAUAGACGAAGUCCUAGGUUUAAUUAUUUCAAAGUAGAGACAAGUGUCGUUAUAAUAUUAUUUUAUACGCGUUUAAACCAUGAAUAAAUUUGCAAGACGCCCGGAAAAAAGAAAGGUAACUAGUCGCAAUAGUCAACGAUGAUCGAACACCGUUUAAAUUCAAAUGAAGAACCAAAAGAAUAUCGAACUCUCUCUAUCUCUAGGCGUGGCGCAGCGGCCAUUUUGGUGUAACGGUGCAAAUCGCCGGCGGUUUCCGGCAAAGACAAAAUUACGAAAUCAAAAACUAUUGGUAUCGAAUGUGUAUAAAAAAUGAAUUUGCGUUAUGUACUUUCCAAAUAUUCAUGAAAACCAAUCUGUAUUAAUGUCCGAAUGUAAAAGAUCUAUUAUGUAAUCGAAAUCCUACGAAUUUUCAGAAUAUAAGGGAGAAAAACCGGAUAGAAUCGAGGAGUGAAAAAGAAGCUAUUCAAGGAGGAUAUUUACCGUGACAGCCGUUGCGGUGCCGAUGGCGAUAAGUAACACAAGUAACUUGAUCAUUUUUGCAAAUAAAAAAUAUUCGUUUGUUACAGAAAAAAAAAAUUGGCUCAAAAAUUAUGAAUUACGAUUCCGUUUACUUUGGAGGUUGGCUAAGAACUGACUCAACUGAACGAACGGGACGCGAGAGCUGACGAGACUCGUUCGCGAGUAUGUACAUUAUACGCUUUGAAACAGGCUGAAUAAACGUGUGUAUAGCAUAGAAUGGUCGUACCUACAGUAUAAAUAUGUACAUGUACGUGUACAUAAGUAUGUUGAUACAAAGGAAAGGCCGUGGAUUCCUUGGUCAGAUAAUGGUGGGGGGAAAAAUUUCGUAUCGGCGAAGAGCAUGAAGAGAACGAGCGAACGAACGGACGAUGAUGCCGGCUGGUAAACACGCAAAGCACGCUAUGUAUUCGUAUCUAUAUAUGUAUUUGUAUUUACUAGAUGGGUGUAGAUACGUAUAUACACCUCACAUACACCAGAGUAAACGCUUUGGCUUUCUGUACCACCGAGCUUGACGGACAUACACGUAUACGUGUGUGUGUGUGUGUGUGUGUGUGUGUGUGUGUAACGUACCUAGGCAUACGGGUUUGAUUCUGAAAGUGUUCAUCACGAAUCAUACAUACCAAUCUAGCAAUAGCCAUACCCAUAUUCCCGAAGAGUUUCAGAAUCGGAACAUCUAAGCGCACCUCUAUAUAUACCUGCACACUAACCUGACCGCGUGGGGCUAUGUCAGGUAUAUAAAAAGAAGUAAAAUAAGACGAUGGAAACUAUAUGGAACUUGAAAGAGCUGAUGAGAACUCGACGCCGAACGUAACAACUAUCUCUCUACCUUUAACGGUUUCUUGCUCCGUAAGUUUCGAGGAACAUGUACACGGGUAUAUAUGUAGAUACGAUACAUUAUAUAUUGCGUGCGGACGAUUUGGAACACGGGAAUUAGUUUUUAGGACCUUUUGGGACACGGUCAAAUUUUUUUUUUCCUCUCAGGCUACUUAUAAUAUUGCACGGGCUACGCCCGGAGGAUCUCCACUUCAGCGACGGUGUUUGAUUUUUAAAAUUCAAACGCGUUUUAUACGCGGGGCCAAUAUUAUUAUACCGUAUAAAUUAUCGGGCCGCUUUUAGUCACGUAAUACGGUAUUUUUGGUUUCGGCGAAAUCUUUUUACGAUUCCUAAAUUUGAACUACCGCUGACCAUGUAUUAGUUACGUAAAAUUUUUUUAAAAUAUCGUACCAACCAGUUAUGGAUUAUUCGCAUCUUCGUUCUUAAGUAUAUAUAUAUGUAUAUUUUUUUUUCUUCACUUCUUUCUUUCCUCUCCAGUUUACACUUACUCGAGAAUUAAAUUAAUAUAGCUCUAUGUGCUAUAGGUUGAAAUUAGCUUCUUACACCGCUGCAUAUUUUCACGAUUCUAUGUGGGUGUGAGACUAUGCCGCGUAACAAUAGUACAUCGUUUAUUAUUAUACACUCAUGUACUGGCGAUUCACAUUUGCUCACACGUAACUAAACAUUCUAUACUUCUUUAUGUCUGUCCAACUAUUGGCAUAAUAUAAUGGACGUUUCCUCUGAUGAAAAUUACAUGAAAAAUUGUUACAGAGCAUUCGCAAAUUUAAAUGUGCGGUUUAAAUAUACAUAUAAUGUGAUGUGUGAUCGUACAGCAGACGAAAUUAAUUCUGCGUGAAAAUAAUUAUACUAUAAAUACCAUGUUCACUUUAAUCGUGACAAAUUCUCGUUUAUGAAGAAAAGAAGGAAAAAGGAAAUGAAAAAAAAUCCCAUCAGCGUAAUUAAAAUGUAUAUAUUCGUCCGACUGAUGCUGAGUUUCGUGAAAUAUAAAUAUUCGGGAUAGUAUAUAUGUUGUAUUUUAAACUCUGAGAAAUUCAGAAUGGACUUGAACCGAUAGGCUUCGCUGGGGUAUCAGAUUUCGAUUCGUUGCUUCAAUACAUUAUGAAUAAACUUUUUUUAUCGCUGACGUUUACCGGUAAUAACUCAUCGUUUGUGUGAUUUUUGUUACGCAUAUAACUUGAGAAAUCAAUGUCCAUAAUGCGGGAAGAAAAUGCGAUAUGCGGUAUGUAUUUAUCUGCAGCAAAGAAUUGUGAUAAACUGCCGCAGCUUAUGUAUCAUGCCGCGAGCAUAAUAAUAUAAUCAUUGGCGGAGAUUAGGUCCUGUAGAAUUGCCCGGAAGUGUUGGUGACAACUUGAAAUCCAUAUACACGUUUCAUAAGUAUACUCGUGCGAAUACCUAUGUAUGAAUCUGGGAGUUUGUUCAAUUAUUUCAAUGUAGGUACAAUCAUAGAUGUACAAUAAUUGUCAAUUCAACUCUUUGACUCAUAAAUUAUUAUAACGAAAGCUUCAAUUGCUACUGUAGCGCUGUACGGUUGGAUAUAAAAAAAUUAGAUCAAUUGCAACCGACUGUAUGGAAGAAUUUUUGCCGCGCCCAUUUUCCUUUAUUAUACAUAUACACUAGACUAUCCAACUAUAGCUACCUAUGUAAUAUCUUCUCUCGACGUGAAACUAUCAUAAAAAUUAUCCUGUAGCCAUUAUAUUUGUGAAGUUAAUUAAUUUUGUUACUUCGUUUAAAAACUUCAGACUUGAAAUUUUGGAACAUUUUUAAAUUAAACGACUCUCCCUAAUGGACAAUGUGCGUGUGGGAGUACGUACACCCCAUUAAAUUGAGAUCAAACAAAAAUAUUUCAGUUUGAAUUCAAAAGUGCCAAGUAACAAUGGAGAGGAAACUUUCAACUAUGAUCGGUAGAAAUGGCUUCGGAGAAAACUGAGGCGAAGGUAUGAUAACUCACGAUCAAUAUUAUUUUUCGUUAACAAUUUUGAAUAAAAUUGCGAGUAGAAAAAUACAGUUAUAAGGAAGGGAGAUUAAUGUGUGUCCCGCUAAGUGAACUCGGUGGUAAUAGCGUCGUUGGUAAAUGAUACACGUAUAUUAAAAUUUUAAGAAAAGAAGCUAUGUACAGAGAUAUGGAAUUCGGAGAGGUACUGAUAUUGAUAAAGAUUUAUUGCCUAAGUAUGCUUUGCAAAAAAAAUCAAUGAAUAAAUAACACAUUCUGGCCACAAAUUGCAUUUACUGUUAUUUAUUUGCUAUAAAACUUAACUUUUUGAAAUCAUCAAAGUACCAAAAAAUGUAACCCAGCUUCACCAUCCCAGGUUUUUCCCCAAUUUUUUCGUGAUUAUUUCCCAUUUUUCCCGAUUUAUUUUCGAUCUUUUAAUGAAUUGUUCAAUUACCCCAUCCAUCCCGCCGAAAAAGCGACAGGCAGCGCCGAGUAGUUUAACAUCAGCCCGCGGCACUUGCCUGAACUAAAAUUCCAAGUUUCUUGCCCCUUGACUCACCGAGACCCGCCUUACAGCGGAGGGGUCGCGUGUAAUGCGGGUGCAUCUAUCAUCAGGCGCUUUGGUCGCGGACCCGCGUGUAAUGCGGGAGUGCAUAUCGCUAGGCGCAUUGAGGGGCUGGGGAAGAUGCGGCGAUUAAAUAAUUAAUGCACUCGAAAUAUCUAUGAAUUGAUUAAAGAAUCGGAUUGCAUCAUAGAUAUAUCAAACAAUAUAUAUUGAAUAAUUUAAUAUAUUGAAUUGAAUAUAUUGAAUAAUAUAUAUUGUUCAAUAUAUCUAUGAUUGGAUCUAGAAAUCAACUCGAGUUCGUGUCACUCUACCUGCAUAUCAUUGCAGGGAAUGAAGGUCUAUUAAUUAAUUGAAAAUCGAGUAAGAAAUAGAUAAUGACAUGAUGAUGACAAAGCAGUGAUUCUUUAUAGGAAGCGAGGGUCUAAUUACAAAUUUUAACAACGAUUUCAUUUCGAAUAUCUUCGUGUCAAAUGAUGGAGACGAGAAGGAGUGAACCCGUGGGCCCUUACUUUCAAUUGAAACGUCUGGAAUUAUACAAGUAACCAUUCCAAUUCCGUUAGUGUUAAUCUACCUGUUGCAAUCUCUGAUACUUCUAUCCUUUGUAGUGGGCAGGUUGAAGUUCUCCUCCAAAAUGCCUCGGCUUGAUAUAGGCAAGUCUUUUAUUUCAAAUACAGAGAUGCUCUAGUCAUACGAUCGUGGCCCAUCUCAGAAAAGGAAACUGCGGCGAUGAGGUUGUACUAGAGGAAAAAUUGCCACCUCUCCCUCAACUUGCGGAUUCGACUCGCAAAAUCCUAAAUGAAGGAUGAUGAACCGAUUUCUGUGUGCUAUUUAUCCGGUAUCAGCCCUUUCUGACGAGCAUCUCCUUACCUGCAACAAGAAGUGUGCUUACACCCGCCGGUUCACAAUUUGCAAAAUAAUUAUCAUACAUAUACAUAGCGUCGAAUAGUGAUGUAUACAAAUGAGUCCUUAUGCAAUAUAUUCAUAAGUUGUAUUCUCUCAAAUAACUGGGGCAAUAUUUUAAUAUUGAUAUGAACAUUAUUCAUGUUGUCAAUGAUAUUGCAAAGUUUUGGAUAAUUAUUCAAAUAAUGUAUGUAUGCUGAAUGUAUUCCACCUGCAUACCUCAUGAAUAAAUGACAAGCUAU
Athalia rosae (coleseed sawfly) is the source of this 5649-nucleotide long non-coding RNA. RefSeq lists it as uncharacterized. The record is from RefSeq and is a predicted model, not a curated record. The transcript has 3 exons. NCBI's taxonomy places the organism in Eukaryota, Metazoa, Arthropoda, Insecta, Hymenoptera, Athaliidae.